AACGAACGCUGGCGGCGUGCCUAAUACAUGCAAGUCGAACGAACGGAUAAAGAGCUUGCUCUUUUGAAGUUAGUGGCGGACGGGUGAGUAACACGUGGGUAACCUGCCUCACAGCUGGGGAUAACAUCGAGAAAUCGAUGCUAAUACCGAAUGUGCUGAACAUCAUAAGAUGUUCAAGUGAAAGACGGUUUCGGCUGUCACUGUGAGAUGGACCCGCGCUGGAUUAGCUAGUUGGUAAGGUAAUGGCUUACCAAGGCGACGAUCCAUAGCCGACCUGAGAGGGUGAUCGGCCACAUUGGGACUGAGACACGGCCCAAACUCCUACGGGAGGCAGCAGUAGGGAAUCUUCGGCAAUGGACGAAAGUCUGACCGAGCAACGCCGCGUGAGCGAAGAAGGCCUUCGGGUCGUAAAGCUCUGUUGUUAGAGAAGAACAUGGGUGAGAGUAACUGUUCACCCCUUGACGGUAUCUAACCAGAAAGCCACGGCUAACUACGUG
RNAcentral lists this ribosomal RNA (497 nucleotides) under uncultured bacterium. RNAcentral's name for it is "partial 16S ribosomal RNA". It matches the Rfam family "Bacterial small subunit ribosomal RNA", at positions 29 to 507 of the family's 1533-position model. The record is from RNAcentral.